AUGCGGGUGAUUGCAUAUGGCGUUCCGGCUGACUAUGCCGAUGAGUAUCUUUGCAUUGGUGAAGAUAGAACAAUUGAGUCUGUGCGUAGAUUUGCGAAAGUGAUCGUCCGUGUCUUUGGUCCCGAGUAUCUUCGGGCACCAAAUGAAGAUGACACAAAGAAAUUGAUGUCAGCUAAUGAGAGGAGAGGUUGGCCUGGGAUGCUAGGUAGCAUUGAUUAUGGUAUAUUUGCGGCCUGA
This 237-nucleotide ribosomal RNA is filed under the name Triticum aestivum (bread wheat). Its description in RNAcentral is "partial small subunit ribosomal RNA". The record is from RNAcentral. Lineage: Eukaryota; Viridiplantae; Streptophyta; Magnoliopsida; Poales; Poaceae.